ACACGCCUUCGGGGCAGGGUGAGGGAGGUUUGCCUCCCAAUUCCCGAUCGGUGGUGACAACCCACGAGCGUCUCAGGACGCAGGAUCCGGUGGAAUUCCGGAGUCGACGGUAUAGUCCGGAUGGGAGAAGGCGUAA
Molecule: non-coding RNA, 136 nt
Filed under: Thermanaerothrix daxensis
Lineage: Bacteria; Bacillati; Chloroflexota; Anaerolineae; Anaerolineales; Anaerolineaceae
Description: FMN sequence
Rfam family: FMN riboswitch aptamer (RFN element)
About the family: The RFN element is a highly conserved domain that is found frequently in the 5'-untranslated regions of prokaryotic mRNAs that encode for flavin mononucleotide (FMN) biosynthesis and transport proteins.
Source: Rfam by way of RNAcentral